GCUGGCGGCGCGCAUAACACAUGCAAGUCGAGCGAGGGCUUAUUUCUCGCAAGAGAGACAAGUUCCUAGCGGCGAACGGGUGAGUAACACGUGGGCAACCUUUCCUAUCGCGGGGGAUAACAGCGGGAAACCGCUGCUAAUACCGCAUGUCGUCACCGGUCUCAUGGCCGGUGAACAAAGCAGCAAUGCACGAUGGGGUGGGCCCGCGGCCUAUCAGCUAGUCGGUGGGGUAACGGCCUACCGAGGCGAUGACGGGUAGCUGGUCUGAGAGGACGGCCAGCCACACGGGGACUGAGACACGGCCCCGACUCCUACGGGAGGCAGCAGUGAGGAAUCUUCCGCAAUGGGCGAAAGCCUGACGGAGCGACGCCGCGUGUGCGAUGAAGUCCUUCGGGAUGUAAAGCACUGUCGGAGGGGAAGACAAAAAAGACGGUACCCUCCAAGAAAGCCCCGGCUAACUACGUGCCAGCAGCCGCGGUAAUACGUAGGGGGCAAGCGUUAUCCAGAUUUACUGGGCGUAAAGCGCGUGUAGGCGGCUGGUUAGGUGUGAUGUGAAA
RNAcentral lists this ribosomal RNA (557 nucleotides) under uncultured soil bacterium. RNAcentral describes it as "bacterial SSU rRNA". It matches the Rfam family "Bacterial small subunit ribosomal RNA", at positions 35 to 599 of the family's 1533-position model. The record is from RNAcentral.